AGGACGAACGCUGGCGGCGUGCUUAACACAUGCAAGUCGAACGGAAAGGCCCUUCGGGGUACUCGAGUGGCGAACGGGUGAGUAACACGUGGGUGAUCUGCCCUGCACUUUGGGAUAAGCCUGGGAAACUGGGUCUAAUACCGAAUAGGACCACGGCAUGCAUGUGCUGUGGUGGAAAGCUUUUGCGGUGUGGGAUGGGCCCGCGGCCUAUCAGCUUGUUGGUGGGGUGAUGGCCUACCAAGGCGACGAUCGGUAGCUGUUCUGAGAGGAAGAUCAGCCACACUGGGACUGAGACACGGCCCAGACUCCUACGGGAGGCAGCAGUUGGGAAUCUUGGACAAUGGGGGAAACCCUGAUCCAGCCAUGCCGCGUGAGUGAUGAAGGCCUUCGGUUGUAAACUCUUCGACGGGACGAUAAUGACGGUACCGUAGAAGAAGCUCCGGCUAACUUCGUGCCAGCAGCCGC
RNAcentral lists this ribosomal RNA (465 nucleotides) under uncultured bacterium. RNAcentral's name for it is "SSU rRNA". It matches the Rfam family "Bacterial small subunit ribosomal RNA", at positions 26 to 518 of the family's 1533-position model. The record is from RNAcentral.